Molecule: ribosomal RNA, 467 nt
Filed under: uncultured bacterium
Lineage: Bacteria
Description: partial 16S ribosomal RNA
Rfam family: Bacterial small subunit ribosomal RNA
Source: RNAcentral
GACGAACGCUGGCGGCGUGCUUAACACAUGCAAGUCGAACGGAAAGGCCCUGCUUUUGUGGGGUGCUCGAGUGGCGAACGGGUGAGUAACACGUGAGUAACCUGCCCUUGACUUUGGGAUAACUUCAGGAAACUGGGGCUAAUACCGGAUAGGAGCUCCUGCUGCAUGGUGGGGGUUGGAAAGUUUCGGCGGUUGGGGAUGGACUCGCGGCUUAUCAGCUUGUUGGUGGGGUAGUGGCUUACCAAGGCUUUGACGGGUAGCCGGCCUGAGAGGGUGACCGGCCACAUUGGGACGGAGAUACGGCCCAGACUCCUACGGGAGGCAACAGUGGGGAAUAUUGCACAAUGGGCGGAAGCCUGAUGCAGCAACGCCGCGUGCGGGAUGACGGCCUUCGGGUUGUAAACCGCUUUCGCCUGUGACGAAGCGUGAGUGACGGUAAUGGGUAAAGAAGCACCGGCUAACUACGU